GGAAACGGAAAUGCUGGGGGGGGUGCUGAGGAAGGAGUCGUGGGGUGGCUCACUGCCUCCAGUGUGAAGUUUUCUCCGCGGUGGGCUGGGUUCACGUGACAAGUUAUCUCUGGAGUUCAAGUGUGAGUUGAAACCAGCCUCAAGUUUCACCUGUCCUCACUGACCCGUGGAUUUCUGUGUGACCAGGUGGCUUUGGAAGAACUACCAAUACGUCCUGGUAUUUCUCUUUGCCAUUGAGGAAAUCAAUAAGGACUCCCAUCUGCUCCCCAAUCUGUCCUUGGGUUUCAACCUCUACAGUGCCUUUCCCAGUGAUCAAAGGACCUUGGAAAGUGCCCUGUUUUGGCUCUCUGGAGGAAAUCAGACUCUCCCUAACUACAACUGCCAGGGACAGAGAAAAUCUGUGGCCAUUGUUACAGGAACCGCGUUGGCAUUUUCAGCCGAGAUUGGAACAGUUCUGGAGCUCUACAGAAGCCCACAGGUCACGUAUGGUCCUUUUGAUCCCAUCCUGAGUGAUAAAGACCAGUUCCCAUCGCUCUAUCAGAUGGCCACCACAGACAGCUCCCUGGCUCAAGGAAUGAUCUGGUUAUUGCUGCAUUUCGGCUGGACCUGGGUGGCGCUAUUUGUAUCUGAUGAUUUGAAAGGCGAGCAGUUCCUCUGGUAUCUGAAAGCAGAGAUGGUAAAGAAAGGUAUCUCUGUGGCCUUUACAGAAAAUCUCCCUGCUACUAAGAAAAUGUAUGGACUGAGUGAUGUGACUUUCAUGUCCAGAAUCAGAGUCUCAGCUGCAAAUGUGCAUAUAAUGUGUGGUGAUACAGGGAGCCUUAUGACCCUAGGCAUGACAGGAGAAUUUUAUUUAACCUCAGGGAACGUGUGGAUCAUGGCAGCAAAGUGGGACAUCGUUACGUACGAGACAGACCGCAUGCUUCACUCUUUCCUUGGGAGCCUCUCAUUUUCACAACAGAAGAGGGAAAUCCCUGGUUUUCAAAACUUUCUCAGGACAGUUAACCCCUUCAAAUACCCAAGAAGACUUUUACUUCAGUAGAUUCUGGUUUGACAUAUUUGAUUGUUCACUUGCUGGGUCUCAUUGUGGAAAACUCAGAGACUGCCCACCUAGUUCUUCCUUAGAGUUUAUGCCAGUAAAUAUUGACAUGAUGACCAUGUCUGUCACCAGCUAUUUCGUCUAUAGUGCUGUGUAUGCAGUGGCCCAAGGGUUCCAUGAAAUGCUUUUGGUGAAAACGGAAAUGGGAUCUCCAGGACGUAGAGGCCAACCUAUGUUUCUUCCUUGGCAGGUAAAUGCCCUCCAGAAGCAGGGCCUGCAUUGAUCACCUGAUGGCAUCUGGAGGUACUAUACUGAGAUAUAACAUCAUGACCAUGCUUUUGUCUCAAGAUCAACAGAAUCAAACAGAAUGGAUGGAGCUAGUUAUAGGCAUGUCUGCAGUCGUUACAGCUAUUUGCAGAUUUCUGCCAUUGGGAGCUUCAAAUACAAAUUAUUUAAUUAGAAAGUGUAUCAGGGAACUUCCCUGGCGGUCCAGUGGUUAAGACUCUGGCCUCCCAAUGCUGGGGGCACGGGUUCAAUCCCUGGUCAGGGAACUAAGCUCCACAUGCCUCAUGGCAUGGUCAAAAAAGAAAACAAAAAAAUAAUAAUAAUAACAACAAUAGAGGCUGCCUCUAUCUGGUGCUAGUCCAUAAAAUAAAAUAAAUUAAAAAAAAAUUGUAUCAAAAAUGUAUUUUCUAAUGUAGGAUGAAAUACUGUAAAAUAUCCAGAGAC
This is a long non-coding RNA of Eubalaena glacialis (North Atlantic right whale), 1765 nucleotides long. RefSeq lists it as uncharacterized. The transcript is spliced from 4 exons. NCBI's taxonomy places the organism in Eukaryota, Metazoa, Chordata, Mammalia, Artiodactyla, Balaenidae. The record is from RefSeq and is a predicted model, not a curated record.